This is a non-coding RNA of Podarcis lilfordi (Lilford's wall lizard), 163 nucleotides long. NCBI's taxonomy places the organism in Eukaryota, Metazoa, Chordata, Lepidosauria, Squamata, Lacertidae. The record is from the annotation of a GenBank genome assembly.
GCACAUUGACUUCUGCUUGCAAAACAGAACUUUUCUUCCCUGUCCUCUCCCUACCUCCUGCAAAUCUGCUCCAGAGAUUUGCAAAUCUACAACAGAUUUGGGGGCUGGCACACAAGGAGAGAAGAGGAAAGAGAAGUUCUGUUUUGCAAGCAGAAGUACUUGU